CAAUAGCGUAUAUUAAAGUUGUUGCGGUUAAAAGCUCGUAGUUGGAGUUCUGCCAGGUGCCGCCUGUCCGCCCCAGUGGUGAGUACGUGGCGCGCAUUUGGCCCUUUCAAGGGGAGCGUAUCUGCACUUUAUUGUGUGGUGCGGGAUCCUUGACUUUUACUUUGAGGAAAUAGGAGUGUUCCAAGCAGGCUCUCGUCGUGCACAGCUCAGCAUGGAAUAAUAGCAUUGGACCUCGAUUCUAAGCUGUUGGUUGCCAGAAGCGAGGUAAUGAUUAAUAGGGAUAGUUGGGGGUAUUCAUAUUUAAUUGUCAGAGGUGAAAUUCUUGGAUUUAUGAAAGAUGAACUUAGGCGAAAGCAUUUACCAAGGAUGUUUUCAUUAAUCAAGAACGAAAGUUAGGGGAUCGAAGACGAUUAGAUACCGU
This 421-nucleotide ribosomal RNA is filed under the name uncultured eukaryote. RNAcentral's name for it is "bacterial SSU rRNA". It matches the Rfam family "Eukaryotic small subunit ribosomal RNA", at positions 592 to 1018 of the family's 1831-position model. The record is from RNAcentral.